This 436-nucleotide ribosomal RNA is filed under the name uncultured archaeon. RNAcentral's name for it is "bacterial SSU rRNA". It matches the Rfam family "Archaeal small subunit ribosomal RNA", at positions 19 to 460 of the family's 1478-position model. The record is from RNAcentral.
GGACCUGACUGCUAUCGGAUUGAUACUAAGCCAUGCGAGUCAUUGUAGCAAUACAAGGCAUACGGCUCAGUAACGCGUAGUCAACCUAACCUAUGGACGGGAAUAACCUCGGGAAACUGAGAAUAAUGCCCGAUAGAACAUUAUGCCUGGAAUGGUUUAUGUUCCAAAUGAUUUAUCGCCGUAGGAUGGGACUGCGGCCUAUCAGUUUGUUGGUGAGGUAAUGGCCCACCAAGACUAUUACAGGUACGGGCUCUGAGAGGAGUAGCCCGGAGAUGGGUACUGAGACACGGACCCAGGCCCUAUGGGGCGCAGCAGGCGAGAAAACUUUGCAAUGUGCGAAAGCACGACAAGGUUAAUCCGAGUGGUUUCUGCUAAAGAAACCUUUUGUCAGUCCUAGAAACACUGAUGAAUAAGGGGUGGGCAAGUUCUGGUGACG